UGGAGGACAGGUGAAGACAGGUGUGGUCAUGGAGGACAGGUGGGGACAGGUGUGGUCAUGGAGGACAGGUGGGGACAGGUGUGGUCAUGGAGGACAGGUGUGGUCAUGGAGGACAGGUGUGGUCAUGGAGGACAGGUGAAGACA
This is a long non-coding RNA of Scomber japonicus (chub mackerel), 144 nucleotides long. RefSeq lists it as uncharacterized. The record is from RefSeq and is a predicted model, not a curated record. The transcript is spliced from 3 exons. NCBI's taxonomy places the organism in Eukaryota, Metazoa, Chordata, Actinopteri, Scombriformes, Scombridae.